AACCAUACAAUGUGUGGCUCUUUUUGAUUGGCUAAGUUAUUAAGAUGAUAAUGUUUUAGAGGCUCAUGUAUAUUCUAGCGUGUAUCUGUAUUUCAUUCUCUCCUAUAGUCAGAUAAUAUUUGAGAUCAUGGUUAUAUAACAUUUUGUUAUUCAUUCCAAGUUGAUGAUUAUUUGUCUUUUCUGGUUUUUUUUGGCUAUUUUGAAUAAUGUCUGUUUUAACACUUAUGACCUACUUUGGUGUGGGCAUGUUCUCAGUAUUUGUGAAACAAGAAGUGGAAUUUCUGAGUCAGAUGGCAGAGUGGACAGUGAGAGAGAGAAAGAGAGAAAAGUCUUCCCUUGCCAUUGGUUCACCCUCCAAUGGCCGCCGUGACCAGCGCACUGCGGCCGGCGCACCGCGCUGAUCCGAUGGCAGGAGCGAGCCAUCAUACAAAGGCCAUGUGGUUAGCAACCAAACUCCAUGAUCAGUCUAUGAAGGUCCGGAAUCCUAGCAGUUUGCUGGAUCAAGUAUCCAAUCACUGAUGACCAAAAGCCUACAACUUUACUUGAUUCCCACACUAAUGUUUGAAUGUGACUGUGUUGCUGCUCUUCUGCACUGAAGUCAUAAUUUCUUUGUCAUAAAAUGUACUUUCUUUGAUUGCCGAAAGUUUGUGUCAGGAAAGACAGGAUAGAUGACGAAUUCUUUGAAACCUAAAGCUGGUAGUCAUAGUCAUUCAACUUUUUCAACCACUAGGGAUUAAGCUGUGGCCAGACUAUCUUCCAUUGUUACAAGAUGAAUGCAUUUCUGAGACACCUAAAUAUUUUACUCAAGGUUGUAUGUUUAGCAAAGAACAAUUAUAAUUUCAAAAUUUUAUAUAUAUAUAUGUACACACACACAUAGUAUUUUUACUAAAAUAUGAGUCACCAGAACCUUAGCCUAUUGAUAUAGAAGGAUGAAAAGGCUAAUGUUUUAAUAUGCAUUUUUGGAAAUACCCACUAGUUGAAAUGUAAUUUAGUGGCGCAUACAAAGAUCUUUGAAAUGUUUACGAACAACCUAUAUUAUAGGAAAAGAAAACUACUCAUGAAUUUCAAAAUUAUUUUCACCAUAUAAAGUUGUACUCUCAUUCAAUUUUUCUUUAAACCUCUCAGUGUGCCCUCAUAUGUGUUGUUGUCCAAGAAUCACAGAGAUUCUUGGGGCCGGCACUGUGGUGCAAUGGGUUAAUGCCCUGGCCUGAAGCGCCGGCAUCCAGUAUGGGUGCCAGUUCGAGACCUGGCUGCUCCAUUUCUUGUCCAGCUCUCUGCUAUGGCCCAGGGAAAGCAGUAUAAGAUGGCCCAAGUCCUUGGGCCCCUGCACCCAUGUGGGACACCGAGAAGAAGCUCCUGGCUCCUGGCUUCGGAUUGGCACAGAUCCAUCCAUUGUGGCCAUCUGGGGAGUGAACCUUCAGAUGGAAGACCUCUCUCUCUCUCUCUCUCUCUUUCUGACUCUCCUCUCUCUGUGUAACUCUUUCAAAUAAAUAAAUAAAAUCUUUAAAAAAAUAAAAGGAUUACCUGAAAAGGGACAAGUUGUGUAUGUGGAAAUAGAAAACUAUAGUGUGAGUAAGUGGAAAAUUACUGAUAAUGGUAGGUGAAGAUGGCUUGAACAAUGUACAUUUUGGAUUAAAAUAUAUUUCCUUGAGCAAAUACUUAGCACUGUGUCUAGAGUCACAUUUAGUGACACAACCUACCAAUUAGUAGAAGUAGAAACUUGGUUAAACUUUGGUGAAGUAUUUUAUCACUUUUAUUUUUCUACAAUUUAUUUAUUUACUUAAAAAGCAGAGUUACAGACAGAGAAAGAGAUUAUCCAUUUACUGGUUCACUCCACAAAUGGCUACAACAGUUGGGGGUUGGUGUGUCUGAAGCUAGGAGCCAGGACAUGGGUCACCCAUGUGAGUGGCAGGGGCCCAGGCAUUUGAUCCUCUUCCACUUCUUUCCUAGAUAAAUUAGCAGGGAGCUGAAUUCCAAGUGUAGCAGACAUGACUCCGUACGGUACUCAUAUGGGAUACCAGUGUCACAGCUUAAGCCACCUAGUCACAACUCUGGCAACAUUAGGACAGUUUUUAGUGAAUUUCUUUGUACCUUAGAUUGAAGACAAAAAAGAAAUGAAUAUAUUCUCAACAUUGAAAAUAACACAUAUAACUUAGUCCAUUUACAUCAGAAAUCGAUUGUGUAAAUGUAAUAAGGGUUUAGAAUAACAGGUUACAUGUAGAAAUCAUGAUUUAUUAAAGGACAAGUAAUAGAUAUAUGCUAAAUAAAAGUUUUCUUCUUGAAUUAUAAGCAUUCCUUAAUGUUCAUAAGUUUAUCCUUUGAUGUGUAUGUUCUUAGAAUCCCACAAUAACCACAAAUGGAGAGUAGGGCCCUGGAAUAGAUAUGUCUCCCUACUUUUAACACUUUCUAGAGUCAAUCCAGUGUCCUCUGUUGAUGAACGUUUAGACAUCUAACCAAUGAGAAGUAUCUAUAGGCUCCAGAUGCAAUAAAACCAAGUUAUAUGUGGAGGGAAGUUAAUGUAAUACAAACAUGUGCAAUGGGGUUGCUAUUGUGCCACAGUGAGUUCAGCCACUGCUUGGGAUGCCCACAUCCCAUACCAGAGUGCCAGUUGGAGUCUUAGCUGCUCUGCAUCCAAUCCAGCAGGAAGAUUCAAUCCAGAGGGAAGAUUCUUUCUCUCUCUCUCUCUAUUCUUCUUCUCUCUCUCUUUGCUGCACACACACACACAUACUUUUCUCUUUUACUCUGCUUUCCAAGUAGAUGAAAAAUAAACAUUUAAAUAUAUAGUGAAAGAAAACAGUAUUUCACAUCUGUUGUUUGCUAGCAUGCCAAGUGUUGUUUUACAUUUGGAAACUUCAUCAUAGUAAGAUUUAGGAAAGUAAAUUCAAUGACUUUUUAAAAAUGAAGUUAUUAACGAUCCAACAUGGGAAGAGGGAUACACAGCAGACUCAUAGAAUGGCAGAUGUACUAAACAGCACUCUGGCCUCAGAAUCAGCCCUUAAGACAUUUAGAUCCGGCUGAAAAGCCCAUGAGAGUAUUUCAGGCAUGGAAAGCCAAGACACUCUGGCAAAAACAAAACAAAACAAAACAAAACACCUAAAUGAAAGAUCUCUGUGAGUGAGAUCCCAAUGGAAAGAACAGGUCUUCAAAGAAGGAGGUACCUUUCUCUGAAGGGAGGAGAGAACUUCCACUUGGACUAUGACCUUGUCUAAAUAUGAUCAGAGUCGGUGAACUCAAAAGGCUUCCAUAGCCUUGGCAACUCAUGACAAGAGCCUAGGGUGAUUACUGACACCAUAAACAAGAGUGUCAAUUUGUUAAGUCAACAACAGGAGACACUGUGCACUUACUCCUCAUGUAGGAUCUCUGUCCUUAAUGUGUUGCACAAUGAGAAUUAAAACUAUUACUAGUACUCAAACAGUAUUUUUCACUUUGUGUUUCUGUGUGGGUGCAAACUGUUGAAAUCUUUACUUAAUAUAUACUAAACUGAUCUUCUGUAUAUAAAGAGAAUUGAAAAUGAAUCUUGAUGUGAA
Non-coding RNA from Oryctolagus cuniculus (rabbit), 3527 nucleotides. Lineage: Eukaryota; Metazoa; Chordata; Mammalia; Lagomorpha; Leporidae. The record is from RefSeq and is a predicted model, not a curated record.